This 90-nucleotide transfer RNA is filed under the name Planctomycetota bacterium. Its description in RNAcentral is "Planctomycetes bacterium (groundwater metagenome) tRNA-Ser". It matches the Rfam family "tRNA". From Rfam's summary of the family: Transfer RNA (tRNA) molecules are approximately 80 nucleotides in length. Their secondary structure includes four short double-helical elements and three loops (D, anti-codon, and T loops). Lineage: Bacteria; Pseudomonadati; Planctomycetota. The record is from RNAcentral.
GGGGAGGUGGCUGAGCGGCUGAAAGCGCCAGAUUGCUAAUCUGGUGUAGGGGCAUGACCUCUACCGAGGGUUCGAAUCCCUCCCUCUCCG